This 497-nucleotide ribosomal RNA is filed under the name Moraxella bovis. RNAcentral's name for it is "bacterial SSU rRNA". It matches the Rfam family "Bacterial small subunit ribosomal RNA", at positions 99 to 597 of the family's 1533-position model. Lineage: Bacteria; Pseudomonadati; Pseudomonadota; Gammaproteobacteria; Moraxellales; Moraxellaceae. The record is from RNAcentral.
CGAACGGGUGAGUAAUGCUUAGGAAUCUGCCUAGUAGUGGGGGAUAACUAUCCGAAAGGAUAGCUAAUACCGCAUACGACCUACGGGUGAAAGGGGGCUUUUAGCUCUCGCUAUUAGAUGAGCCUAAGUCGGAUUAGCUAGUUGGUGGGGUAAAGGCCUACCAAGGCGACGAUCUGUAGCUGGUCUGAGAGGAUGAUCAGCCACACUGGGACUGAGACACGGCCCAGACUCCUACGGGAGGCAGCAGUGGGGAAUAUUGGACAAUGGGCGAAAGCCUGAUCCAGCCAUGCCGCGUGUGUGAAGAAGGCCUUUUGGUUGUAAAGCACUUUAAGUAGGGAGGAAAAGCUUGUGGUUAAUACCCACAAGCCCUGACGUUACCUACAGAAUAAGCACCGGCUAACUCUGUGCCAGCAGCCGCGGUAAUACAGAGGGUGCAAGCGUUAAUCGGAAUUACUGGGCGUAAAGCGAGCGUAGGUGGUCAUUUAAGUCAGAUGUGA